This 24-nucleotide ribosomal RNA is filed under the name Russula emetica. RNAcentral's name for it is "partial 18S ribosomal RNA". Lineage: Eukaryota; Fungi; Basidiomycota; Agaricomycetes; Russulales; Russulaceae. The record is from RNAcentral.
GGUGNACCUGCGGAAGGAUCAUUA